This 253-nucleotide ribosomal RNA is filed under the name uncultured bacterium. RNAcentral's name for it is "partial 16S ribosomal RNA". It matches the Rfam family "Bacterial small subunit ribosomal RNA", at positions 524 to 776 of the family's 1533-position model. The record is from RNAcentral.
UACGUAGGGGGCGAGCGUUAUCCGGAUUCACUGGGUGUAAAGGGAGCGCAGGCGGUCUUUUAAGUCUGAUGUGAAAGCCUUCGGCUUAACCGGAGUAGUGCAUUGGAAACUGGGAGACUUGAGUGCAGAAGAGGAGAGUGGAACUCCAUGUGUAGCGGUGAAAUGCGUAGAUAUAUGGAAGAACACCAGAGGCGAAAGCGGCUCUCUGGUCUGUAACUGACGCUGAGGUUCGAAAGCGUGGGUAGCAAACAGG